UGCCCCCUUCUCACUCUGCCAACUGGACUUAUGUCUUAAUUGGUUGUGCAAGUGGGGCAAAGGAAGUGUCCUUUGGAAAAACAA
RNAcentral lists this small nucleolar RNA (84 nucleotides) under Sorex araneus (European shrew). RNAcentral's name for it is "Small nucleolar RNA SNORA27 (ENSSARG00000019021.1)". It matches the Rfam family "Small nucleolar RNA SNORA27". Rfam says of the family: ACA27 is a member of the H/ACA class of snoRNA that guide the sites of modification of uridines to pseudouridines. The record is from RNAcentral. Lineage: Eukaryota; Metazoa; Chordata; Mammalia; Eulipotyphla; Soricidae.